GAUGAACGCUGGCGGCGUGCCUAAUACAUGCAAGUCGAACGAACAGGUGAUGCGCUUGCUCCUCUGACGUUAGCGGCGGACGUGUGAGUCACACGUGUAUACCCUACCUAUAAUACUGGUAUAACUUCGGGAAACCGGCUCUAAUACCGUAUAAUAUAUUGCUCCGUAUUGUUCAUUGGUGAAAUACGGUUUUUCUGUCACUUCUAGCUGCAUCCGCGCCGCAUUAGCUAGUUGUUACGUUAACGGCUUACCAAGGCAACGAUGCGUGGACGACGUGAGAGAGGGGUAGGCCACCUGGGAACUGAGACACGGUCAAGACUACUACGGGAGGCAGCAGAAGGGAAUCGUACGCAGUGGGCGAAAGCAUGACGGAGCAACGCCACGUGAGUGACGAAGAUGUUCGGAGCGUAAAACUCGGUUAUGAGGGAAGAACAGAUGUGGAAGGAAAUAAGGAGGGAGUGACGGUAACGAAUAAGAAAGCAACGGCUAACUACGUG
RNAcentral lists this ribosomal RNA (497 nucleotides) under uncultured bacterium. RNAcentral describes it as "partial 16S ribosomal RNA". It matches the Rfam family "Bacterial small subunit ribosomal RNA", at positions 28 to 507 of the family's 1533-position model. The record is from RNAcentral.